RNAcentral lists this ribosomal RNA (362 nucleotides) under Desulfitobacterium hafniense. Its description in RNAcentral is "bacterial SSU rRNA". It matches the Rfam family "Bacterial small subunit ribosomal RNA", at positions 1181 to 1533 of the family's 1533-position model. Lineage: Bacteria; Bacillati; Bacillota; Clostridia; Eubacteriales; Desulfitobacteriaceae. The record is from RNAcentral.
GACGUCAAAUCAUCAUGCCCCUUAUGUCUUGGGCUUCACGCAUGCUACAAUGGCCGGUACAAAGGGCUGCGAUACCGCAAGGUGGAGCGAAUCCCAAAAAGCCGGGCUCAGUUCGGAUCGGGGUCUGCAACUCGACCCCGUGAAGUCGGAGGCGCUAGUAAUCGCAGAUCAGCAACGCUGCGGUGAAUACGUUCCCGGGCCUUGUACACACCGCCCGUCAAGUCAUGAAAGUCGGUAACACCCGAAGCCGGUGGCCCAACCUUUGGGGGGGAGCCGUCGAAGGUGGGACUGGCGAUUAGGACUAAGUCGUAACAAGGUAGCCGUACCGGAAGGUGCGGCUGGAUCACCUCCUUUCUAAGGAG